GCGGGCGUAAUUCAGUGGUAGAAUGCGAGCUUCCCAAGCUUGUAACGUGGGUUCGAUUCCCAUCGCCCGCUCCA
Molecule: transfer RNA, 74 nt
Filed under: bacterium
Lineage: Bacteria
Description: tRNA-Gly
Rfam family: tRNA
About the family: Transfer RNA (tRNA) molecules are approximately 80 nucleotides in length. Their secondary structure includes four short double-helical elements and three loops (D, anti-codon, and T loops).
Source: RNAcentral